UACAGAGGUCCCGAGCGUUGUUCGGAUUUAUUGGGCGUAAAGGGUGCGUAGGCGGCGGAGUAAGUUGGGUGUGAAAUCCCGGGGCUUAACCUCGGAAUGGCAUUCAAUACUGCUUCGCUCGAGUACUGGAGAGGAGGCUGGAAUUUACGGUGUAGCGGUGAAAUGCGUAGAUAUCGUAAGGAAGGCCGGUGGCGAAAGCGAGCCUCUGGACAGUAACUGACGCUGAUGCACGAAGGCCAGGGGAGCAAACGGG
Molecule: ribosomal RNA, 253 nt
Filed under: uncultured bacterium
Lineage: Bacteria
Description: partial 16S ribosomal RNA
Rfam family: Bacterial small subunit ribosomal RNA
Source: RNAcentral